RNAcentral lists this transfer RNA (77 nucleotides) under Agitococcus sp. RNAcentral describes it as "tRNA-Ile". It matches the Rfam family "tRNA". From Rfam's summary of the family: Transfer RNA (tRNA) molecules are approximately 80 nucleotides in length. Their secondary structure includes four short double-helical elements and three loops (D, anti-codon, and T loops). The record is from RNAcentral. Lineage: Bacteria; Pseudomonadati; Pseudomonadota; Gammaproteobacteria; Moraxellales; Moraxellaceae.
GGAUGUUUAGCUCAGUUGGUUAGAGCACCGUGUUGAUAACGCGGGGGUCUUUGGUUCGAAUCCAAAAAUAUCCACCA